This 1251-nucleotide long non-coding RNA is filed under the name Gadus morhua (Atlantic cod). Its description in RNAcentral is "lncRNA (ENSGMOG00000034536.1)". Lineage: Eukaryota; Metazoa; Chordata; Actinopteri; Gadiformes; Gadidae. The record is from RNAcentral.
UACAAAUUGGAUCCUACAUUUAGGAAGAAGGAUGGCUGUAUCUGCCUUUUUGACUCUGAGGAUGCCAAGAAGGUCAAGACGGAGAUCGGCCAUGGACCAGAGCUCUUUCAUCAGAUGAGGUGAAAGAGUCUGCAAGGGAAGCUGUUGAGCAUAAAGGUGGGGACCCCAACAACGAGGAGCAUGUUCUUGGCCAGCAUAAAUUACAGUUUGGGCUCUUCAGGGAUAAAACAUUUAAAUGGCUGGCUGAGAACGCUCUGGGGUAUGCUGGCUAUGUGGUGGCAUCCAUGUCGGUGGAGUCAGGUCGCUCUGAUUCAACCAACAAUCUCAUAAACAAGACACUUUUGGAGAAGUAAAUCUCUGUUUCCUGCUGGCCGCUAUGCCAUUCGGGUGAAGAAGGACGCACUGAGCUCCAAACUUCCAAGCCGACCUGCCACUACAGCUUCUGCCUCUACACAGGCCGCCUCCACAUCCCCAACAGCCUUCAACCUCCUUGCAGGCUGCUGUCAAUGUAGCACCCGCCUUCUCUCCACGAUCAUCCGUAGUGCCUGCAUCCUCCCUACGCGGCCUGUUGUCAAGGAGAGACCAGUCUCCCCAGGCUAUCUCCAAAAAUGUAAAGAGCCUCUUCACAAAACCAAGGUUUCAGCCAUCUAUUCCUGCCCUGCCACGCGCUGGAUCCAUUAAAACGGAACCAACUGACAGCGAGCUCAUGCAGGCUGCCGCAGAAGUUGACCCCGACACAUCGCAGAGCAGAAUUUGCCUCCCCGCUGGUUGGAUCCCCGCCCUGCCAGAGGUUGACCAGCACUGGAUCUCGAAGGCUCUGUUCCGGUGGUCACCCUCUGGUCAACCAGAGUUUGACAUUGACAAGGUGGACAGAAUGUGGUGGUAUCCACCUCAGCAGUCGCUGACAUCCAGUGCCAUCCCAGCAAUGGAGCAGUUCUUUGGGCACCCUCUGUUCCUGUGGAUGCCCAGGAAGCUGUGGCAUGUGCGACUGCUCUGUCCACAUCAAGACUGUGGGAAGGCAGAGCUCACCUCUGCGGGACUCCAUCAGAGGGUCAGGCUGGUGGUUGGUGUCAGCGGCUCUUACUACCUGGUAGCCGAAUACCUUGCAUGUAAGAGUUGCAAAAGGAAGGUCAUCAGCUGGAGCCACAACAUCGUCUCUCAGCUAGACAUUGGUCACUGCCUGCAUUUCCCAUGUCUGCUGACAUACAAGCUGGGGUGCGACAUGCAGGUUGUGCGCAUGAUACGUCAGCG